This is a long non-coding RNA of Rhinolophus ferrumequinum (greater horseshoe bat), 634 nucleotides long. RefSeq lists it as uncharacterized. The record is from RefSeq and is a predicted model, not a curated record. NCBI's taxonomy places the organism in Eukaryota, Metazoa, Chordata, Mammalia, Chiroptera, Rhinolophidae. The transcript is spliced from 4 exons.
AAAGUUUGAAUUUGAGCCACACAGAGAGAAGUUGGAAGAAACAGCAUUUGAGAGAACCUAAGCAGCUACUAGAGAUGCCAGCUGGGAAGAAAUCCAGGAAAGAAGAAAUGACCAGGACACGUACCUUCAUUGUCAAAUUAAUAGAAUAGGAGGAAAUAGAAGCACAGAAGGGUUUAAGUGGCUGCCUAAAAUCGCACAUCUUAUACGUGGAUUUGAGCAUCUCUCUCUCUCUCAAUCAUCUCAUUAACCUGUAUUCUGAUGAUUUGACAUCUUCUGAGGUUGCCAUCAAUAUGAAAACACCCUCAUAGAGAAACUGUGGACUCCCAAGGUGCGGAUGCUCAGGACUCUUAGACUCCAGUUUGAGAAACUCAGUAAGAUCAAUCUCCCUGUAGCAUCAGACACAUCUUAUAUCUCUUCCUUACAUCUCUUACACCUUGAGCCUAAUUUGUGUGGGCUGAUCCACCCACAGGCUGUGCCCGUUACACUCCCUUCUUAAACUUCUCUUGGUACCUGCUCCUAGACGUGCCACUUUCACACGGGCCACUGGCUCUAGAGGGCAGGUGUGUGGCUCUGGCUGUGCAGGCUCAGAGCCACUCUGACUGUCUGCCCUCACCCCCACCACCACCUCUCUCAA